AUGGUGAAGGGGGGGUGCGACCACCGCUGCUUGCGCCAGGGCCGAGGUCGGGGAGGCCGCCGGGCUCGUCGUCGCUGCUGCCGCGCGAGUCCACGACGCCCCGGGUCCAUCUCCCCUUCCCCGCGUCCGCAGCGUGAGGCCGUCGACCGUAGAGCCACCCCGCGGCUACCCCAUAGCCGUCGACAGCGACGCCCAUUGUCGCUGCGCCACCACCGCCCCCGGCGGAGACAGAGGAAUCAGGCCGCGCGCGCCGCAAUUCGGACGGACGAACGCUUCCCACGAUCUGGAUUUAUCUUUGGGAGGGAGGGUUUUCUUGAAAAAAGACCAGCCUAA
Molecule: ribosomal RNA, 333 nt
Filed under: Triticum aestivum (bread wheat)
Lineage: Eukaryota; Viridiplantae; Streptophyta; Magnoliopsida; Poales; Poaceae
Description: partial small subunit ribosomal RNA
Source: RNAcentral